CUAAACCAAGAGACAAAUUGA
RNAcentral lists this microRNA (21 nucleotides) under Echinococcus granulosus. RNAcentral's name for it is "egr-miR-10263-3p". The record is from miRBase by way of RNAcentral. Lineage: Eukaryota; Metazoa; Platyhelminthes; Cestoda; Cyclophyllidea; Taeniidae.